Molecule: ribosomal RNA, 405 nt
Filed under: uncultured Anaerolineaceae bacterium
Lineage: Bacteria; Bacillati; Chloroflexota; Anaerolineae; Anaerolineales; Anaerolineaceae
Description: bacterial SSU rRNA
Rfam family: Bacterial small subunit ribosomal RNA
Source: RNAcentral
UAGGGAAUAUUGGACAAUGGGCGAAAGCCUGAUCCAGCAACGCCGCGUGCGCGAUGAAGGCCUUCGGGUUGUAAAGCGCUUUUCGGGGGGAUGAGGAAGGACAGUACCCCCGGAAUAAGUCUCGGCUAACUACGUGCCAGCAGCCGCGGUAAAACGUAGGAGGCAAGCGUUAUCCGGAUUUACUGGGCGUAAAGCGCGUGCAGGCGGUUCGGUAAGUCGGACGUGAAAGCUCCUGGCUCAACUGGGAGAUGCCGUUCGAUACUACCGAACUAGAGGGCAGGAGAGGGAGGUGGAAUUCCGGGUGUAGCGGUGAAAUGCGUAGAUAUCCGGAGGAACACCAGUGGCGAAGGCGGCCUCCUAGUCUGCCCCUGACGCUCAGACGCGAAAGCUAGGGGAGCGAACGGG